Molecule: unclassified non-coding RNA, 323 nt
Filed under: uncultured fungus
Lineage: Eukaryota; Fungi
Description: partial contains 5.8S ribosomal RNA and internal transcribed spacer 2
Rfam family: 5.8S ribosomal RNA (bases 1-133)
Source: RNAcentral
UGGUUCUGGCAUCGAUGAAGAACGCAGCGAAAUGCGAUAAGUAAUGUGAAUUGCAGAAUUUAGUGAAUCAUCGAAUCUUUGAACGCACAUUGCGCCCUUUGGUAUUCCGAAGGGCACAUCUGUUCGAGCGUCAUUACACCUUCUCAAGCCUAGCUUGGAAUUGAGCAAAGUUUAUGAAAUAUUAAACUUGCUUCAAACAUCUCAGCGGUACCUUCUUGGUCUCAAGCGUAGUUGAUUAUUUUUCGUUUGUCAGAUUGAGAUUGGCACCUGCUCUUAUUCUAUUUCUUUAGGUUGACCUCGGAUCAGAUGGGAGUACCCGCUGA